RNAcentral lists this ribosomal RNA (253 nucleotides) under uncultured bacterium. RNAcentral's name for it is "partial 16S ribosomal RNA". It matches the Rfam family "Bacterial small subunit ribosomal RNA", at positions 524 to 776 of the family's 1533-position model. The record is from RNAcentral.
GACAGAGGGUGCAAACGUUGCUCGGAAUUACUGGGCGUAAAGCGCGUGUAGGUGGAUUGGUGUGUCAGAUGUGAAAUCCCUGGGCUCAACCCAGGAACUGCACCUGAAACUACCAGUCUUGAGUGGUGGAGAGGGAAGUGGAAUUCCAGGUGUAGCGGUGAAAUGCGUAGAUAUCUGGAGGAACACCGGUGGCGAAGGCGGCAUCCUGGACCGGCAGUGACGCUGAGGCGCGAAAGCGUGGGGAGCAAACAGG